Molecule: long non-coding RNA, 480 nt
Organism: Gossypium arboreum
Lineage: Eukaryota; Viridiplantae; Streptophyta; Magnoliopsida; Malvales; Malvaceae
Exons: 2
Source: RefSeq, a predicted model, not a curated record
UCUGUAGAAGCAUUUUCAUAUAGGUCAAACCUGUAAGGUUGGUGCCGAUCUCCGAGCAAGGAGCAUGGGAAAAAAAGACCAAAACUAAGUGAGAAACCCCAAAUGACAUUUGGCAUAUGGAUACUAUAUUUGAACCGGAAGCUCGAGUUUUGAAGAAAUCCGAUAACGGGUAAAAAUGAAGGAGAUUUUCCACUCCAUAUCUUACUCAUCUUGUUGCUGUAGAUUUUAGGCAAUGAAUUGAUUUCAAGAGUACUUUGCCUUCAGCAUAACCAGCGGGUGAGAUGUUUAAUGCGUUAGGACAUGAUAUUAAAGCGAAUUAUAUUCUGUAAAAGUAUCAAAGUUAGAUUGCAUUAAAAAAUAGCAAAUUAGGCCUUAUACAUUUUCAUACAAAGUUUAUGGAUCUCUAAACUUAAUUUUUAGACCUCAUUGGCACGAAGGUAACUUGCUUAUGCUGGAAAUAUAUAUUUUUUGAAUCAACAA